Molecule: long non-coding RNA, 1347 nt
Organism: Dermacentor albipictus
Lineage: Eukaryota; Metazoa; Arthropoda; Arachnida; Ixodida; Ixodidae
Source: RefSeq, a predicted model, not a curated record
UGCAGCCCUUUACGUAGGCAAAGUUUGCGCGCGUUGCAGGUCUGCCAAAACGCACGCUCACUAAAGUGUAGAUGCAAGUUCACAAGAGUUUUGCUAGCUGCUGAGAACAGUAUAUUCUGGUCGCAGCUGGAAUGCCAAACGAGUGAGCGAAUUACAAUGGUUGAAACCGACAUGAUGCAUUCUGUGACCUCCUUGGUUCUCGUCUUCUCCAUGGGGAUAAUAGUUGCUUCUGCAACCCACAAAACAGACUGUUUCUUUACUGGACUGGACCUGGAUGGUGCUCUUACAAGAGUAAUCAGUCAGCUAUCAGUACAUGAACAGCAGAUGAAGAGGAUCAGCUCAUACCCAGACAUUUUAGAUGUUGAGUGCUGCAGCAUUAGGGGCCUUCAGCACCUUCGCCAGUACGGACCACUGCUUCCUUACUGCGUCAAUGGCACACGCAAAUUUCAAGUCGACUUGGUCCACGAUGGUCCCAUCGAGAUGAUAGUGAAUUGGCGGUGGUACAAUGGAAUCAAAGGAACACUGGCACUCGGCGCACAAUUAUCGCGCCUCACCCUGCAAUUUGUUGUUUCCGAACAGCCACUCGUGAAAAUUGGCCUUAGGUUGGAAAAUCCUCUCGUUCCCGUGGCGACAGAGAUGACUUAUGCUGCUGUUGAAGGUGUUGGUGAAACUGCGCGAGCUGUGACGGCAAUCUGGAGCAAGCUUCUGCCUUCGCUGACGCAACGUGUGUGGAAUGAGUAUUUCCUUGCAAAUCUGCGCAAGGCCAUCUGUGAGGUUCAGCUCGAUUUGUUCGGUCCACAUGAACAAGCGAACCUACAAAAAAGCAGCUCAACUGCGUUCACUGAAUAUACCGAAUUAGAUGCGUGUACGAACUGAUCGCUGCGCUACAAACAUAAGUGAACAAAAACAGUGCUUGCUGCACAUGGCUGCUCAAGCCUGCGGCAAUUUUGCGACAGUCAAACAGGCAGCGUGAAGUGUCGGCAGAUUUCUGGCUGUACAAUGGCUUCGAAGCACGUUAUGUGUGAGGUUCCUCUUGUUUACUGCUGUGACACGUGGUAGAUCAGCAGCCAGCCAUGCGAAAAUAUACCUAAAUAAUUAGCUGCCAAUAGUUGUUUUUUUGCAGAAACCAUGCUACCUUUUAUGUAGGUAUGCAUCAAACUAUCCGAGGGCUGGCAACAUAAAAGACUGAGAGAUAAAGAUAUAUCUAUGUGAAAGCAAAAAUAUGUGCGGAGGCUGUAAAUUGGAUUUACCUGUCACCAUAUUAGUAGGCCACACGCAACUUAUAUGCUGAACGUGGUGUAUAAUUUCUUCGAUACAAAGUGAAUAAAAUGUUUAUUUCCUUGCUUC